This 459-nucleotide ribosomal RNA is filed under the name uncultured bacterium. RNAcentral's name for it is "partial 16S ribosomal RNA". It matches the Rfam family "Bacterial small subunit ribosomal RNA", at positions 338 to 795 of the family's 1533-position model. The record is from RNAcentral.
CCUACGGGUGGCAGCAGUGAGGAAUAUUGGUCAAUGGGCGCGAGCCUGAACCAGCCAAGCCGCGUGAGGGAAGACGGUCCUAUGGAUUGUAAACUUCUUUUGUUGGGGAGCAAAAGACGCCACGCGUGGCGUUCCGAGAGUACCUGAAGAAAAAGCAUCGGCUAACUCCGUGCCAGCAGCCGCGGUACUACGGAGGAUGCGAGCGUUAUCCGGAUUUAUUGGGUUUAAGGGGUGCGCAGGCGGAAGGUCAAGUCAGCGGUAAAAUUGAGAGGCUCAACCUCUUCGAGCCGUUGAAACUGGUUGUCUUGAGUGAGUGAGAGGUAUGCGGAAUGCGUGGUGUAGCGGUGAAAUGCAUAGAUAUCACGCAGAACUCCGAUUGCGAAGGCAGCAUACCGGCGCUCAACUGACGCUCAUGCACGAAAGUGUGGGUAUCGAACAGGAUUAGAUACCCCAGUAGUC